CCUUUUAAAAGCACUCAGUGGGCCUUUUCCUGGUGACUCACUGAGCUGUCAAGACAAAGCAGCAUAUAAACAUCGCUUUUGGGUAAGCGGCAGCAUCUUGUGUUGUUUUGCUUCAAUCGGUGGUAUGACAAGG
This 133-nucleotide small nucleolar RNA is filed under the name Dasypus novemcinctus (nine-banded armadillo). The record is from RNAcentral. Lineage: Eukaryota; Metazoa; Chordata; Mammalia; Cingulata; Dasypodidae.